GACCGCUCCAGUGGCCCAGUGGUUAUUGCGUCCGCCUAGAAUGCGGGAGGUCGCGGGUUCGACCCCCUCCUGAGUCA
Non-coding RNA from Potamilus streckersoni, 77 nucleotides. Lineage: Eukaryota; Metazoa; Mollusca; Bivalvia; Unionida; Unionidae. The record is from the annotation of a GenBank genome assembly.